GCAAACACCAUGAAGGCAAGGAAAAAACAAAUUGUAGGUUAUCUGGAAGACAGCAUCCAUAAGAAACAACUGAAUCUACAUCAACCAAUGGAACAAAGAAGCUACCCACUUCUGUUUCCUGCCCAGUAAAGCUUACCCAAGGGUGACGACCAGCAGCAAGGAUAACCUAUAACAUGAAUGGACAGUACUGUGUAGUAACUAAUUACAAUAUAUUUAUAUAUAAAGGCCUCAGUGGUAGUGUCACUAC
Molecule: long non-coding RNA, 247 nt
Organism: Gopherus evgoodei (Goodes thornscrub tortoise)
Lineage: Eukaryota; Metazoa; Chordata; Testudines; Testudinidae
Exons: 2
Source: RefSeq, a predicted model, not a curated record